This 561-nucleotide ribosomal RNA is filed under the name Arthroderma ciferrii. Its description in RNAcentral is "eukaryotic LSU rRNA". It matches the Rfam family "Eukaryotic large subunit ribosomal RNA", at positions 58 to 632 of the family's 3401-position model. Lineage: Eukaryota; Fungi; Ascomycota; Eurotiomycetes; Onygenales; Arthrodermataceae. The record is from RNAcentral.
AAAGAAACCAACAGGGAUUGCCCCAGUAACGGCGAGUGAAGCGGCAAAAGCUCAAAUUUGAAAUCUGGCUCCUUAGGGGGUCCGAGUUGUAAUUUGUAGAGGAUGCUUCGGGUGCGGCCACGGCCUAAGUUCCUUGGAACAGGACGUCAUAGAGGGUGAGAAUCCCGUCUUGGGUCGUUGGUCCACGCCCGUGUGAAGCUCCUUCGACGAGUCGAGUUGUUUGGGAAUGCAGCUCUAAGCGGGUGGUAAAUUUCAUCUAAAGCUAAAUAUUGGCCGGAGACCGAUAGCGCACAAGUAGAGUGAUCGAAAGGUUAAAAGCACCUUGAAAAGGGAGUUAAACAGCACGUGAAAUUGUUGAAAGGGAAGCGCUUGCGGCCAGACUCGAGCGCGGGGCUCAUCAGGUGCGUGUCACCUGUGCACUCCCCGCCGCUCGGGCCAGCAUCAGUUCUGACGGCCGGUCAAAGGCCCCCGGAAUGUGUCGUCUCUCGGGACGUCUUAUAGCCGGGGGUGCAAUGCGGCCCGCCGGGACUGAGGAACGCGCUUCGGCUCGGAUGCUGGCAU